GGAUUAGAUACCCUGGUAGUCCACGCCGUAAACGAUGUCUACUAGCCGUUGGGAGACUUGAUCUUUUAGUGGCGCAGCUAACGCGAUAAGUAGACCGCCUGGGGAGUACGGCCGCAAGGUUAAAACUCAAAUGAAUUGACGGGGGCCCGCACAAGCGGUGGAGCAUGUGGUUUAAUUCGACGCAACGCGAAGAACCUUACCUACACUUGACAUCCAGAGAACUUUCUGGAGAUAGAUUGGUGCCUUCGGGAGCUCUGAGACAGGUGCUGCAUGGCUGUCGUCAGCUCGUGUUG
RNAcentral lists this ribosomal RNA (293 nucleotides) under uncultured bacterium. Its description in RNAcentral is "partial 16S ribosomal RNA". It matches the Rfam family "Bacterial small subunit ribosomal RNA", at positions 775 to 1067 of the family's 1533-position model. The record is from RNAcentral.